This 571-nucleotide ribosomal RNA is filed under the name Escherichia coli. RNAcentral describes it as "partial 23S ribosomal RNA". It matches the Rfam family "Bacterial large subunit ribosomal RNA", at positions 1313 to 1869 of the family's 2925-position model. The record is from RNAcentral. Lineage: Bacteria; Pseudomonadati; Pseudomonadota; Gammaproteobacteria; Enterobacterales; Enterobacteriaceae.
UAAAGCGGGUGAAAAGCCCGCUCGCCGGAAGACCAAGGGUUCCUGUCCAACGUUAAUCGGGGCAGGGUGAGUCGACCCCUAAGGCGAGGCCGAAAGGCGUAGUCGAUGGGAAACAGGUUAAUAUUCCUGUACUUGGUGUUACUGCGAAGGGGGGACGGAGAAGGCUAUGUUGGCCGGGCGACGGUUGUCCCGGUUUAAGCGUGUAGGCUGGUUUUCCAGGCAAAUCCGGAAAAUCAAGGCUGAGGCGUGAUGACGAGGCACUACGGUGCUGAAGCAACAAAUGCCCUGCUUCCAGGAAAAGCCUCUAAGCAUCAGGUAACAUCAAAUCGUACCCCAAACCGACACAGGUGGUCAGGUAGAGAAUACCAAGGCGCUUGAGAGAACUCGGGUGAAGGAACUAGGCAAAAUGGUGCCGUAACUUCGGGAGAAGGCACGCUGAUAUGUAGGUGAAGUCCCUCGCGGAUGGAGCUGAAAUCAGUCGAAGAUACCAGCUGGCUGCAACUGUUUAUUAAAAACACAGCACUGUGCAAACACGAAAGUGGACGUAUACGGUGUGACGCCUGCCCGGUGC